This 558-nucleotide ribosomal RNA is filed under the name Plectosphaerella cucumerina. Its description in RNAcentral is "eukaryotic LSU rRNA". The stretch from base 170 to 323 matches the Rfam family "5.8S ribosomal RNA". Lineage: Eukaryota; Fungi; Ascomycota; Sordariomycetes; Glomerellales; Plectosphaerellaceae. The record is from RNAcentral.
UCCGUAGGUGAACCUGCGGAGGGAUCAUUACUGAGUACUACACUCUCUACCCUUUGUGAACUAUUAUACCUGUUGCUUCGGCGGCGCCCGCGAGGGUGCCCGCCGGUCUCAUCAGAAUCUCUGUUUUCGAACCCGACGAUACUUCUGAGUGUUCUUAGCGAACUGUCAAAACUUUUAACAACGGAUCUCUUGGCUCCAGCAUCGAUGAAGAACGCAGCGAAACGCGAUAUGUAAUGUGAAUUGCAGAAUUCAGUGAAUCAUCGAAUCUUUGAACGCACAUGGCGCCUUCCAGUAUCCUGGGAGGCAUGCCUGUCCGAGCGUCGUUUCAACCCUCGAGCCCCCGUGGCCCGGCGUUGGGGAUCUGCCACGGCAGGCCCCUAAAACCAGUGGCGGACCCGAAGGCCCUCUCCUUUGCGCAGUAGCAUCAGCCUCGCAUUGGGAUCCCUCGGCGUCCUGCCUCUAAACCCCCCACAAGUCCGCUCCGGCGGCACCAAGGUUGACCUCGGAUCAGGUAGGAAUACCCGCUGAACUUAAGCAUAUCAAUAAGCGGAGGAACCG